GUGCUUUAGCUAUCGUAGGUGUAGCCUGCGGAGGAUCAUUA
This 41-nucleotide ribosomal RNA is filed under the name uncultured Dermocybe. Its description in RNAcentral is "partial 18S ribosomal RNA". Lineage: Eukaryota; Fungi; Basidiomycota; Agaricomycetes; Agaricales; Cortinariaceae. The record is from RNAcentral.